UGGGGAAUAUUGGACAAUGGGCGAAAGCCUGAUCCAGCAAUGCCGCGUGGGUGAAGAAGGUCUUCGGAUUGUAAAGCCCUUUCGGCGGGGACGAUGAUGACGGUACCCGCAGAAGAAGCUCCGGCUAACUUCGUGCCAGCAGCCGCGGUAAUACGAAGGGGGCUAGCGUUGCUCGGAAUGACUGGGCGUAAAGGGCGCGUAGGCGGUUUAGUGAGUUGGGCGUGAAAUUCCCGGGCUUAACCUGGGGGCUGCGUUCGAUACCACUAGGCUUGAGUGUGGAAGAGGGUCGUGGAAUUCCCAGUGUAGAGGUGAAAUUCGUAGAUAUUGGGAAGAACACCGGUGGCGAAGGCGGCGACCUGGUCCAUUACUGACGCUGAGGCGCGAAAGCGUGGGGAGCAAACA
This 402-nucleotide ribosomal RNA is filed under the name uncultured prokaryote. Its description in RNAcentral is "bacterial SSU rRNA". It matches the Rfam family "Bacterial small subunit ribosomal RNA", at positions 355 to 774 of the family's 1533-position model. The record is from RNAcentral.